GGCCGACAGCACGGGAGCCCCGCACGGGGCUGAGAGGGCGUCGCCGCCGACCGUCGAACCUGAUCUGGGUCAUGCCAGCGAAGGGAGCGCACAUGAGCCUGUC
This 103-nucleotide non-coding RNA is filed under the name Cellulosimicrobium sp. MM. RNAcentral describes it as "TPP riboswitch aptamer (THI element)". It matches the Rfam family "TPP riboswitch aptamer (THI element)". From Rfam's summary of the family: Vitamin B(1) in its active form thiamin pyrophosphate (TPP) is an essential coenzyme that is synthesised by coupling of pyrimidine and thiazole moieties in bacteria. The previously detected thiamin-regulatory element, thi box was extended, resulting in a new, highly conserved RNA secondary structure, the THI element, which is widely distributed in eubacteria and also occurs in some archaea. Lineage: Bacteria; Bacillati; Actinomycetota; Actinomycetes; Micrococcales; Promicromonosporaceae. The record is from Rfam by way of RNAcentral. RNAcentral also lists the same sequence under 1 other name.